Molecule: ribosomal RNA, 258 nt
Filed under: uncultured bacterium
Lineage: Bacteria
Description: partial 16S ribosomal RNA
Rfam family: Bacterial small subunit ribosomal RNA
Source: RNAcentral
GCCCGCGGUGCAUUAGCUAGUUGGUGAGGUAACAGCUCACCAAGGCCACGAUGCAUAGCCGACCUGAGAGGGUGAUCGGCCACAUUGGAACUGAGACACGGCCCAGACUCCUACGGGAGGCAGCAGUGGGGAAUAUUGCGCAAUGGGGGAAACCCUGACGCAGCAACGCCGCGUGGGUGAUGAAGGUCUUCGGAUUGUAAAGCCCUGUUUUCUGGGACGAUAAUGACGGUACCGUAAGAGAAAGCCACGGCUAACUAC